RNAcentral lists this ribosomal RNA (484 nucleotides) under uncultured bacterium. RNAcentral describes it as "partial 16S ribosomal RNA". It matches the Rfam family "Bacterial small subunit ribosomal RNA", at positions 28 to 523 of the family's 1533-position model. The record is from RNAcentral.
GACGAACGCUGGCGGCGUGCUUAACACAUGCAAGUCGAACGAUGAACCCGGAGCUUGCUCCGGCGGAUUAGUGGCGAACGGGUGAGUAACACGUGAGUAACCUGCCCUUGACUCUGGGAUAACUGCGGGAAACUGUAGCUAAUACCGGAUACGACCCUCGGCGGCAUCGCCAGGGGGUGGAAAGAAUUUCGGUCAAGGAUGGACUCGCGGCCUAUCAGCUAGUUGGUGAGGUAACGGCUCACCAAGGCGACGACGGGUAGCCGGCCUGAGAGGUUGACCGGCCGCACUGGGACUGAGACACGGGCCAGACUCCUACGGGAAGCAGCAGUGGGGAAUAUUGCACGAUGGGCGCAAGCCUGAUGCGGCAACGCCGCGUGGGGGAUGACGGCCUUCGGGUUGUAAACCUCUUUUGGUAGGGAAGAAGCGUAAGUGACGGUACCUGCAGAAAAAGCACCGGCUAACUACGUGCCAGCCGCCGCCGUAA